GGGUGCGAUCAUACCAGCACUAAUGCACCGGUUCCCAUCAGUAAUCCGCGGUUAAGCGUGCUUAAGUGAGAGUAGUACUAGGAAGGGUGACCUCCUGGGAAGUCCUCGUGUUGCACCCC
Non-coding RNA from Corchorus olitorius, 119 nucleotides. The record is from Rfam. Lineage: Eukaryota; Viridiplantae; Streptophyta; Magnoliopsida; Malvales; Malvaceae.